Long non-coding RNA from Argiope bruennichi, 801 nucleotides. RefSeq lists it as uncharacterized. NCBI's taxonomy places the organism in Eukaryota, Metazoa, Arthropoda, Arachnida, Araneae, Araneidae. The record is from RefSeq and is a predicted model, not a curated record. The transcript is spliced from 6 exons.
ACAUACUGUUGAAGUCCGUACUUCCGUAUUUUUCGAGCAGUGCUUUGAAUAAUUUUGUAUUAUUUUAAAUUUAAGCUUCGAUUUUAUCUGAUAUUUUAAAAAUUAUCUCCUUAAUUUCCAAAAUCAAACUAACGGUUUAUUUUGCUAAAAAUAAUGCGACAAGCAAAAUUUAUACUACAUGAAUUAGUCCGACUGCGGGACACCUCAUAAUUGAGGAUGAGAAGCUUCCUGCAUGGUGGUUGGUUCUUCCCACCCUUGUGGCACACAAAAAAAAUAAUGUAUGAACAUGAAAGGAGAGAUAGCAUCUCUUCAAAUUUCAGCUAGAAGAUAUUCAAACUCUCAAAUGAAACUCUUUUAACUCUUUUAAACAGCAGCAACCAGGAGCAGAAGAUCAUAAAAUUACCUUAAUUGAAUAGUUGAAAAAUCUUCUUAAUAUGAAUGGAUUUUGAUGAAAUUGAUCGUUUUAGUCCUCUUUCAAAAUGAAAAAAAAAAUCAUCCUUCAAUGAAAGCUGCUUAUUCUACAGAUUAAGUUUCUUGCAAGAAAGGCAUGACAAUUUUCGUAAAAGCAUAUGAUUCCACUCCUCAUCAAGCUUUAACAAGGCAGAUUCAAAGAUUACAAGAUAGCAUUGAAGAAGAUGGAAGACAUCUGAAUCGUGUGAUGAAAAUUUGGGAUCUGGAAAUUGGAGAGAAAUUCUGUGACAUGGGAUUAAAAAAAAGGCAUGUUAGAAAAAUUCAACUGGUUCUGCUCUUUUUCCUAGAAUAACAUAUCUUUAUUCUUUAAAGAAAUUAUUGUUAGUUUCA